GACGAACGCUGGCGGCGUGCUUAACACAUGCAAGUCGAACGGAAAGGCCCUGCUUUUGUGGGGUGCUCGAGUGGCGAACGGGUGAGUAACACGUGAGUAACCUGCCCUUGACUCUGGGAUAACUUCGGGAAACUGGGGCUAAUACCGGAUAGGAGCUCCUGCUGCAUGGUGGGGGUUGGAAAGGUUCGGCGGUUGGGGAUGGGCUCGCGGCUUAUCAGCUUGUUGGUGGGGUAGUGGCCUACCAAGGCGUCGACGGGUAGCCGGCCUGAGAGGGUGACCGGCCACACUGGGACUGAGAUACGGCCCAGACUCCUACGGGAGGCAGCAGUGGGGAAUAUUGCACAAUGGGCGGAAGCCUGAUGCAGCGACGCCGCGUGAGGGAUGACGGCCUUCGGGUUGUAAACCUCUUUCACCAGGGACGAAGCGAACGUGACGGUAACUGGAGAAGAAGCACCGGCUAACUACGUG
This 468-nucleotide ribosomal RNA is filed under the name uncultured bacterium. Its description in RNAcentral is "partial 16S ribosomal RNA". It matches the Rfam family "Bacterial small subunit ribosomal RNA", at positions 28 to 507 of the family's 1533-position model. The record is from RNAcentral.